RNAcentral lists this ribosomal RNA (464 nucleotides) under uncultured bacterium. RNAcentral describes it as "bacterial SSU rRNA". It matches the Rfam family "Bacterial small subunit ribosomal RNA", at positions 338 to 795 of the family's 1533-position model. The record is from RNAcentral.
CCUACGGGUGGCACCAGUGGGGAAUAUUGCACAAUGGGCGCAAGCCUGAUGCAGCCAUGCCGCAUGUAUGAAGAAGGCCUUCGGGGUGUAAAGUACUUUCAGCGGGGAGGAAGGUGUUGUGGUUAAUAACCACAGCGAUUGACGUUACCCGCAGAAGAAGCACCGGCUAACUCCGUGCCAGCAGCCGCGGCAAUACGGAGGGUGCAAGCGUUAAUCGGAAUUACUGGGCGUAAAGCGCACGCAGGCGGUCUGUCAAGUCGGAUGUGAAAUCCCCGGGCUCAACCUGGGAACUGCAUUCGAAACUGGCAGGCUAGAGUCUUGUAGAGGGGGGUAGAAUUCAGGUGUAGCGGUGAAAUGCGUAGAGAUCUGGAGGAAUACCGGUGGCGAAGGCGGCCCCCUGGACAAAGACUGACGCUCAGGUGCGAAAGCGCGGGGAGCAGACAGGAUUAGAUACCCUCGUAGUC